Molecule: small nuclear RNA, 115 nt
Organism: Hemibagrus wyckioides
Lineage: Eukaryota; Metazoa; Chordata; Actinopteri; Siluriformes; Bagridae
Product: U5 spliceosomal RNA
Exons: 1
Source: RefSeq, a predicted model, not a curated record
UAGCUCUGGUUUCUCUUAAAUCAUGCAUGAAUCUUUUGCCUUUUGUUAAAGAUUUCGGUGGAGGGAAACAUCAAUAAGUUUGGUGUAUUUUUGUGAGCAUUGGUUCGGCAAAGCU